CUACGGGCGGCAGCAGUCGAGAAUCUUCCGCAAUGGGCGAAAGCCUGACGGAGCAAUGCCGCGUGAUGGAUGAAGUACUUCGGUGCGUAAACAUCUUUUAUGAGUGAAGAAGUAUAUUGACAUUAACUCAUGAAUAAGAGGCUCCUAACUCUGUGCCAGCAGGAGCGGUAAUACAGAGGCCUCAAGCGUUACCCGGAAUCACUGGGCGUAAAGGGUGUGUAGGCGGUCAUGUUAGUCGCGUGUAAAAGCCCGGAGCUCAACUUCGGAUUCGCGCGCGAAACGGCACGACUAGAGUGUGGCAGAGGUGCGUAGAACUCAUGGUGUAGGGGUGAAAUCCGUUGAUAUCAUGGGGAAUACCAAAAGCGAAGGCAGCGCACUGGGCCAUUUCUGACGCUGAGACACGAAAGCGUGGGUAGCGACCGGGAUUAGAUACCCGCGUAGUC
Molecule: ribosomal RNA, 443 nt
Filed under: uncultured bacterium
Lineage: Bacteria
Description: partial 16S ribosomal RNA
Rfam family: Bacterial small subunit ribosomal RNA
Source: RNAcentral